Molecule: ribosomal RNA, 253 nt
Filed under: uncultured bacterium
Lineage: Bacteria
Also listed under: 1 other name
Description: partial 16S ribosomal RNA
Rfam family: Bacterial small subunit ribosomal RNA
Source: RNAcentral
UACGUGAGGGGCGAACGUUGUUCGGUGUCACUGGGCUUAAAGGGCGCGUAGGUGGCUGCGUAAGUAAGGUGUGAAAGCCCUCGGCUUACCCGGGGAAUUGCGCCUUAUACUGCGUGGCUUGAGGAUCUCAGGGGAAGGGGGAACUCCAGGUGUAGCGGUGAAAUGCGCAGAUAUCUGGGGGAAGGCCGGCGGCGAAGGCGCCCUUCUGGGAGAUUCCUGACACUGAGGCGCGAAAGCGUGGGGAGCAAACAGG